GUGUUACAAGAAAAACGCUGUUUCCAAGACUGCAAAUCGCGGUAUGUCACAAAUUUCUGUGAUUAGAAAACUGCGGACUUUUUUAUUUAUGCAAUGACUUUGUCUCAGGAAAUUUAAACUCUAAAUGAUACCCAAAGCACAAGAUUCGUGGAAACCAUUGAUACAGAAAACAUGACUGAAUUAUAUUGAAACACAAGCACGAACUUGUCAGAUUUAUGACUGUUUAUUGAAUUUAAAAAGUCGACUAACAUACGCAUUUUAUU
This 263-nucleotide long non-coding RNA is filed under the name Mytilus galloprovincialis (Mediterranean mussel). Lineage: Eukaryota; Metazoa; Mollusca; Bivalvia; Mytilida; Mytilidae. The record is from RNAcentral.